Molecule: long non-coding RNA, 392 nt
Organism: Populus euphratica (Euphrates poplar)
Lineage: Eukaryota; Viridiplantae; Streptophyta; Magnoliopsida; Malpighiales; Salicaceae
Exons: 3
Source: RefSeq, a predicted model, not a curated record
AAUAUAUAAUCGAAGAUUGCAUGCUGUUCCUAUAUCUUCCAGAAAUUGUCUCGAGCAAAAUAUAUCAAGAGAUGGUUUCAUGAAAUAAAGAACACUGCAGAGGAUUGAACCGUGGAUGCAAAGGGCUACAGACCAUCCAUGAGGACCCAGAUCCAUCCGUUAUUGUUCAUCUUGCCUCCUCUCUUUUUGUUGCAAGCCUUGGAAUCAAGUCCGAUGCUCAGUCAGGACAGCUUGGUGUUGAAGACAACUUUCUUGAACGGUUGCAACCGUUUUUGCGUGGUUGAGCCAACACGAUUUGGCAUGAGCUGAAAUGUUUUGCAGAAAGCUUCUUACCAUGGAAACAUAUGACGCAGUAGUGGUUGAGUACAACCAAAACAGCCACAACUAACGCC